AGCUUUGCGCAGUGGCAGAAUCGUAGCCAAUGAGGAUUAUCCGAGGCGCGAUUAUUGCUAAUUGAAAACUUAAACGGUACAACUUCCUGAAUAUCUGGGCCGAGGCUUCCUUC
Canis lupus familiaris (dog) is the source of this 113-nucleotide non-coding RNA. The record is from Rfam. Lineage: Eukaryota; Metazoa; Chordata; Mammalia; Carnivora; Canidae.